UUUGGUGACAAUGGCAAGGAGGUCACACCUGUUCCCAUGCCGAACACAGAAGUUAAGCUCCUUAGCGCCGAUGGUAGUC
RNAcentral lists this ribosomal RNA (79 nucleotides) under Staphylococcus capitis. Lineage: Bacteria; Bacillati; Bacillota; Bacilli; Caryophanales; Staphylococcaceae. The record is from RNAcentral.